UACGGAGGAUGCGAGCGUUAUCCGGAUUUAUUGGGUUUAAAGGGUGCGUAGGCGGGCUGUUAAGUCAGCGGUCAAAUGUCGGGGCUCAACCCCGGCCCGCCGUUGAAACUGGCAGUCUCGAGUUGGAGAGAAGUAUGCGGAAUGCGCGGUGUAGCGGUGAAAUGCAUAGAUAUCGCGCAGAACCCCGAUUGCGAAGGCAGCGUACCGGCCGGUCACUGACGCUGAGGCACGAAAGUGCGGGUAUCAAACAGG
RNAcentral lists this ribosomal RNA (252 nucleotides) under uncultured Bacteroidales bacterium. RNAcentral describes it as "partial 16S ribosomal RNA". It matches the Rfam family "Bacterial small subunit ribosomal RNA", at positions 524 to 776 of the family's 1533-position model. Lineage: Bacteria; Pseudomonadati; Bacteroidota; Bacteroidia; Bacteroidales. The record is from RNAcentral.